This 253-nucleotide ribosomal RNA is filed under the name uncultured bacterium. RNAcentral's name for it is "partial 16S ribosomal RNA". It matches the Rfam family "Bacterial small subunit ribosomal RNA", at positions 524 to 776 of the family's 1533-position model. The record is from RNAcentral.
UACGUAGGGGGCAAGCGUUGUCCGGAAUUAUUGGGCGUAAAGAGCGCGUAAGCGGUCCGAUAAGUCGGCUGUGAAAGUCCAGGGCUCAACCCUGGAAAGCCGGCCGAUACUGUCGGACUAGAGUUCGGAAGAGGCGAGUGGAAUUCCCGGUGUAGCGGUGAAAUGCGCAGAUAUCGGGAGGAACACCAAUUGCGAAGGCAGCUCGCUGGGACGAUACUGACGCUGAGGCGCGAAAGCGUGGGGAGCAAACAGG